This 253-nucleotide ribosomal RNA is filed under the name uncultured bacterium. RNAcentral describes it as "partial 16S ribosomal RNA". It matches the Rfam family "Bacterial small subunit ribosomal RNA", at positions 524 to 776 of the family's 1533-position model. The record is from RNAcentral.
UACGGGGGGGGCAAGCGUUGUUCGGAAUUACUGGGCGUAAAGGGCUCGUAGGUGGCCAACUAAGUCGGACGUGAAAUCCCUCAGCUUAACUGGGGAACUGCGUCCGAUACUGGAUGGCUUGAGUUUGGGAGAGGGAUGCGGAAUUCCAGGUGUAGCGGUGAAAUGCGUAGAUAUCUGGAGGAACACCCGUGGCGAAGGCGGUUCUCUGGGACGGUACUGACGCUGAGACGCGAAAGCGUGGGGAGCGAACAGG